This 468-nucleotide ribosomal RNA is filed under the name uncultured bacterium. Its description in RNAcentral is "partial 16S ribosomal RNA". It matches the Rfam family "Bacterial small subunit ribosomal RNA", at positions 28 to 507 of the family's 1533-position model. The record is from RNAcentral.
GACGAACGCUGGCGGCGUGCUUAACACAUGCAAGUCGAACGGAAAGGCCCUGCUUUUGUGGGGUGCUCGAGUGGCGAACGGGUGAGUAACACGUGAGUAACCUGCCCUUGACUGUGGGAUAACUUCAGGAAACUGGGGCUAAUACCGGAUAGGAGCUCCUGCUGCAUGGUGGGGGUUGGAAAGUUUCGGCGGUUGGGGAUGGACUCGCGGCUUAUCAGCUUGUUGGUGGGGUAGUGGCUUACCAAGGCUUUGACGGGUAGCCGGCCUGAGAGGGUGACCGGCCACAUUGAAACUGAGAUACGGCCCAGACUCCUACGGGAGGCAGCAGUGGGGAAUAUUGCGCAAUGGACGGAAGCCUGAUGCAGCCACGCCGCGUGCGGGAUGACGGCCUUCGGGUUUUAAACCGCUUUCGCCUGUGACGAAGCGUGAGUGACGGUAAUGGGUAAAGAAGCACCGGCUAACUACGUG